This 253-nucleotide ribosomal RNA is filed under the name uncultured bacterium. RNAcentral describes it as "partial 16S ribosomal RNA". It matches the Rfam family "Bacterial small subunit ribosomal RNA", at positions 524 to 777 of the family's 1533-position model. The record is from RNAcentral.
UACGAAGGGGGCUAGCGUUGUUCGGAUUUACUGGGCGUAAAGCGCACGUAGGCGGAUCGUUAAGUCGGGGGUGAAAUCCUGGAGCUCAACUCCAGAACUGCCUUCGAUACUGGCGAUCUUGAGUCCGGAAGAGGUGAGUGGAACUCCUAGUGUAGAGGUGGAAUUCGUAGAUAUUCGCAAGAACACCAGUGGCGAAGGCGGCUCACUGGCCCGGUACUGACGCUGAGGUGCGAAAGCGUGGGAGCAAACAGGG